GGAAGUAAAAGUCGUAACAAGGUUUCCGUAGGUGAACCUGCGGAAGGAUCAUUAUUGAAGUAAACUUGAUGAGUUGUUGCUGGUUCUCUAGGGAGCAAGUGCACACUUGUCAGUUUUAUAUCUUCACCUGUGCACAUUUUGUAGACUUUGGAUAUCUCUCUGAUUGCUUUCUUUUAGCACUUAGGAUUAAGGAUUGACUUUUGUCUCUUCUUACAUUUCCAGGUCUAUGUUUCUUCAGAUACCCUAAUGUAUGUUUAAAGAAUGUAAUUAAUAGGCCUUUGUGCCUAUAAGUCUUUACAACUUUCAGCAACGGAUCUCUUGGCUCUCGCAUCGAUGAAGAACGCAGCGAAAUGCGAUAAGUAAUGUGAAUUGCAGAAUUCAGUGAAUCAUCGAAUCUUUGAACGCACCUUGCGCUCCUUGGUAUUCCGAGGAGCAUGCCUGUUUGAGUGUCAUUAAUAUAUCAACCUCUUUGGUUGGAUGUGGGUUUGCUGGUCUUUUGAGAUCAGCUUCCCUUAAAUGUAUUAGCAGACAAUGUUUUUGCGAAAUGCUCAUUGGUGUGAUAAUUAUCUACGCUAUUGACGUCAAGCAAGUUCUGCUUCUAACUGUCUAUUGAUUUGGACAAAUUUAUUAAUGUGACCUCAAAUCAGGUAGGACUACCCGCUGAACUUAAGCAUAUCAAUAAGCGGAGGAAAAGAAACUAACAAGGAUUCCCCUAGUAACUGCGAGUGAAGCGGGAAAAGCUCAAAUUUAAAAUCUGGCAGUCUUUGGCUGUCCGAGUUGUAAUCUAGAGAAGCAUUAUCCGUGCUGGACCGUGUAUAAGUCUCCUGGAAUGGAGCGUCAUAGAGGGUGAGAAUCCCGUCUUUGACACGGACUACCAGGGCUUUGUGAUGUGCUCUCAAAGAGUCGAGUUGUUUGGGAAUGCAGCUCAAAAUGGGUGGUAAAUUCCAUCUAAAGCUAAAUAUUGGCGAGAGACCGAUAGCGAACAAGUACCGUGAGGGAAAGAUGAAAAGAACUUUGGAAAGAGAGUUAAACAGUACGUGAAAUUGCUGAAAGGGAAACGCUUAAAGUCAGUCGCGUUGUCCAGGAUCAACUCUUGCUUUUGCUUGGUGUACUUUCUGGUUAACGGGUCAGCAUCAAUUUUGACCAUUGGAAAAAGAUUAAGGGAAUGUGGCAUCUUUAGAUGUGUUUAUAGCCCUUGGUUGCAUACAUUGGUUGGGAUUGAGGAACUCAGCACGCCGCAAGGCCGAGUUUUUAACUAC
Molecule: ribosomal RNA, 1259 nt
Filed under: Calonarius lilaciotinctus
Lineage: Eukaryota; Fungi; Basidiomycota; Agaricomycetes; Agaricales; Cortinariaceae
Description: eukaryotic LSU rRNA
Rfam family: Eukaryotic large subunit ribosomal RNA (bases 634-1259)
Source: RNAcentral